UACGGAGGGGACUAGCGUUGUUCGGAAUUACUGGGCGUAAAGCGCACGUAGGCGGAUUUGUAAGUCAGGGGUGAAAUCCCGGGGCUCAACCUCGGAACUGCCUUUGAUACUGCAAAUCUCGAGUCCGGAAGAGGUGAGUGGAAUUCCUAGUGUAGAGGUGAAAUGCGCAGAUAUCAGGAAGAAUAUCCGUGGCGAAGGCGGCUCUCUGGGACGGUACUGACGCUGAGACGCGAAAGCGUGGGGAGCGAACAGG
RNAcentral lists this ribosomal RNA (253 nucleotides) under uncultured bacterium. Its description in RNAcentral is "partial 16S ribosomal RNA". It matches the Rfam family "Bacterial small subunit ribosomal RNA", at positions 524 to 776 of the family's 1533-position model. The record is from RNAcentral.